Molecule: ribosomal RNA, 322 nt
Filed under: uncultured eukaryote
Lineage: Eukaryota
Description: partial 18S ribosomal RNA
Rfam family: Eukaryotic small subunit ribosomal RNA
Source: RNAcentral
CCCUUAGAUGUUCUGGGCCGCACGCGUGCUACACUGAGUGGAUCAGCGGGUCAGGUUGCGCGAAAGUGUUUCCUAAUCUUUAAAUCCGCUCGUGAUGGGGAUUGACGGUUGCAAUUUUCCGUCAUGAACGAGGAAUACCUUGUAAGCGCGGGUCAUCAUCCCGCGCUGAAUACGUCCCUGCCCUUUGUACACACCGCCCGUCGCUCCUACCGAUUGAGUGGUCCGGUGAGGCUUUGGGAUGUGAGCGGAAAGAGCGUUUCGCUGUUUCUGCCCGGAAAACUCAGUCGAACCUUAUCAUUUAGAGGAAGGAGAAGUCGUAACA